RNAcentral lists this ribosomal RNA (922 nucleotides) under uncultured bacterium. RNAcentral's name for it is "bacterial SSU rRNA". It matches the Rfam family "Bacterial small subunit ribosomal RNA", at positions 78 to 997 of the family's 1533-position model. The record is from RNAcentral.
CUUCGGGAGCUGACGAGUGGCGGACGGGUGAGUAACGCGUAGGAAUCUGCCUUAUAGUGGGGGACAACGUGGGGAAACCCACGCUAAUACCGCAUACGCCCUACGGGGGAAAGGAGGGGGUCUUCGGACCUUUCGCUAUGAGAUGAGCCUGCGUUAGAUUAGCUAGUUGGUAGGGUAAAGGCCUACCAAGGCGACGAUCUAUAGCUGGUCUGAGAGGACGAUCAGCCACACUGGGACUGAGACACGGCCCAGACUCCUACGGGAGGCAGCAGUGGGGAAUAUUGGACAAUGGGCGAAAGCCUGAUCCAGCAAUACCGCGUGUGUGAAGAAGGCCUUAGGGUUGUAAAGCACUUUCAAUUGGGAGGAAAACCUGUCGGUCAAUACCCGGCAGCUUGACAUUACCUUUAGAAGAAGCACCGGCUAACUCCGUGCCAGCAGCCGCGGUAAUACGGAGGGUGCGAGCGUUAAUCGGAAUUACUGGGCGUAAAGCGUGCGUAGGCGGUUCGUUAAGUCAGAUGUGAAAGCCCUGGGCCCAACCUGGGAACUGCAUUUGAAACUGGCGGACUAGAGUUUAGUGGAGGGGAGUGGAAUUUCAGGUGUAGCGGUGAAAUGCGUAGAUAUCUGAAGGAACACCAGUGGCGAAGGCGACUCCCUGGACUAGAACUGACGCUGAGGUACGAAAGCGUGGGUAGCAAACAGGAUUAGAUACCCUGGUAGUCCACGCCGUAAACGAUGUCGACUAGCCGUUGGUCCUAUUUACAGGAUUAGUGGCGCAGCUAACGCAUUAAGUCGACCGCCUGGGGAGUACGGCCGCAAGGUUAAAACUCAAAUGAAUUGACGGGGGGCCCGCACAAGCGGUGGAGCAUGUGGUUUAAUUCGAUGCACGCGAAGAACCUUACCUACCCUUGACAUCCAGAGAAUC